This 463-nucleotide ribosomal RNA is filed under the name uncultured bacterium. RNAcentral's name for it is "partial 16S ribosomal RNA". It matches the Rfam family "Bacterial small subunit ribosomal RNA", at positions 28 to 507 of the family's 1533-position model. The record is from RNAcentral.
GACGAACGCUGGCGGCGUGCUUAACACAUGCAAGUCGAACGGAAAGGCCUUUUCGGAGGUACUCAAGUGGCGAACGGGUGAGUAACACGUGGGUGAUCUGCCCUGCACUCUGGGAUAAGCCUGGGAAACUGGGUCUAAUACCGGAUAGGACCGCACUUUAGUGUGUGUGGUGGAAAGUUUUUUCGGUGUAGGGUGAGCCCGCGGCCUAUCAGCUUGUUGGUGGGGUAAUGGCCUACCAAGGCGGCGACGGGUAGCCGGACUGAGAGGUUGGUCGGCCACAUGGGGACGGAGAUACGGCCCAGACUCCGACGGGAGGAAGCAGUGGGGAAUAUUGCACAAUGGGCGCAAGCCUGAUGCAGCGACGCCGCGUGGGGGAUGACGGCCUUCGGGUUGUAAGCUACUUUCGCCAGGGACGAAGCGUUUUGUGACGGUACCUGGAGAAGAAGCACCGGCUAACUACGUG